Molecule: transfer RNA, 72 nt
Filed under: Camelus bactrianus (Bactrian camel)
Lineage: Eukaryota; Metazoa; Chordata; Mammalia; Artiodactyla; Camelidae
Also listed under: 1 other name
Rfam family: tRNA
About the family: Transfer RNA (tRNA) molecules are approximately 80 nucleotides in length.
Source: Rfam by way of RNAcentral
GAGGGUACAGCUCAGUGAUAGAGUGUGUGCUUAGCAUGCAUGAGGUCCUGGGUUCAAUCCUCGGUACCUCCA